ACUGUGCUAAGGUAGCAAAAUCAUUUGAUUGAUAAUUGCUUUCUAGAAUGAAAGGGUUAACAAAAGUAAAUCUUUUUUUUUUAUAGAAGCUAAUUUUCAAAAUUAAGUAAGAAUGCUUAAAGAAUUUAGAAAGACGAUAAGACCCUAGAAUCUAUUUAUGUCGAAAUAAGAUAUUUGCUGGGAUGGUAGGUUUAAUUCAAGAAAGAAGAAAACAUUUUGAAUGGAAUUAAUAAACCUAAUAUUUAUUUUAAGUUAGAUACUCUAGGGAUAACAGCAUUAUUUUUUUUUGGAGCCCUUAUUGACAAAAAAGAUUUUGACCUCGAUGUUGAAUUAUAAUAUCUUAAUGAAGAAGUUUUCGUUUAAAAAGGUCUGUUCGACCUUUAUUUUUAUACGUGAUCU
Molecule: ribosomal RNA, 399 nt
Filed under: unidentified
Description: Burmoniscus sp. partial 16S ribosomal RNA
Rfam family: Bacterial large subunit ribosomal RNA
Source: RNAcentral